AGUGAACGCUGGCGGUAGGCCUAACACAUGCAAGUCGAACGGCAGCACAGAGGAGCUUGCUCCUUGGGUGGCGAGUGGCGGACGGGUGAGGAAUACAUCGGAAUCUACUCUGUCGUGGGGGAUAACGUAGGGAAACUUACGCUAAUACCGCAUACGACCUACGGGUGAAAGCAGGGGAUCUUCGGACCUUGCGCGAUUGAAUGAGCCGAUGUCGGAUUAGCUAGUUGGCGGGGUAAAGGCCCACCAAGGCGACGAUCCGUAGCUGGUCUGAGAGGAUGAUCAGCCAUACUGGAACUGAGACACGGUCCAGACUCCUACGGGAGGCAGAAGUGGGGAAUAUUGGACAAUGGGCGCGAGCCUGAUCCAGCCAUACCGCGUGGGUGAAGAAGGCCUUCGGGUUGUAAAGCCCUUUUGUUGGGAAAGAAAUCCAGCUGGCUAAUACCCGGUUGGGAUGACGGUACCCAAAGAAUAAGCACCGGCUAACUUCGUGCCAGCAGCCGCCGUAA
This 506-nucleotide ribosomal RNA is filed under the name uncultured bacterium. Its description in RNAcentral is "partial 16S ribosomal RNA". It matches the Rfam family "Bacterial small subunit ribosomal RNA", at positions 29 to 523 of the family's 1533-position model. The record is from RNAcentral.